UCGUGCAAAUCCUAAUGACUCAGCACACGAGCGCGAUGCACGUUCUUCAUCUAGGGAGCGGACUACUGGGCCUUCCCUAAAUCGUCUUACCCUGCUACUACCUUUUCUACAGAAUCCAACACUUCUGCAGAAUUCAACGCUCCUUGCUUUGCUUCUUGCUGCUAUACGAUAAGCUGCUCCUUAACCAACAGCUAUUACUGCCACAAACCAACAAUGAAUAAAAACCUAUGUUGAAUUGCA
This is a long non-coding RNA of Haplochromis burtoni (Burton's mouthbrooder), 240 nucleotides long. RefSeq lists it as uncharacterized. The transcript is spliced from 3 exons. NCBI's taxonomy places the organism in Eukaryota, Metazoa, Chordata, Actinopteri, Cichliformes, Cichlidae. The record is from RefSeq and is a predicted model, not a curated record.